Molecule: non-coding RNA, 500 nt
Organism: Oryzias melastigma (Indian medaka)
Lineage: Eukaryota; Metazoa; Chordata; Actinopteri; Beloniformes; Adrianichthyidae
Source: the annotation of a RefSeq genome assembly
AAAGUCUUGACUUUGUUCUCUGCAAACUGAAGAACUCAGAGAAACUUUUCUUCCUGGCUUUGCUCCACAGAAACAAACCACAGCAGGAGGAGGAGCUUCACAGCAGAACAUGAAGCUUCAUGUUGGAGCUGAAGAGCUGCUGUGUUCUCUCUGUUCUUCAUUCAGUACCAGAGAAAAGAAUGUUGCUGCUUCUCAUCUGGAUGAUGAUGGUCUCCUUUCAAACUGGAUCCUCUGAGGAUUUACUGAAACCAUUGAAAGAUGAAGUGAUGGAUUUGGAAGGAGAAACUGUCACUCUGUCCUGCAAAUAUUCUGGUUCUGUGUAUAAUGUUCAGUGGUACCAACAGAAGUCCAGUUCAUCUCCUCAGUUCAUCAUCGCUGACUUUUCUGCAAAAACAGAGAAAUAUUCAGUGAAACACGACAAACAGAAUCAGGAGUUUCAUCUACAGAUCUCCUCUGCUGCAGUGUCAGACUCUGCUGUGUACUACUGUGCUCUGCGGCCC